Molecule: long non-coding RNA, 396 nt
Organism: Vigna unguiculata (cowpea)
Lineage: Eukaryota; Viridiplantae; Streptophyta; Magnoliopsida; Fabales; Fabaceae
Source: RefSeq, a predicted model, not a curated record
AAGUAACUCACCAUUUAUACAAUUUUGAGAUUCUUGGACCGAAUUGAAAGAAAAGUUAUGGGGAAAUUUGAGAUGAAAACUAUUGGAGUUAUUAUAAUCACAGUGAUGAUCCUAUUAAAUUUUGCACAAGCCGAUGAAGCCGAUGGAUUUUUAUGUAAUGCGAAGUGUAAAAUCAAAUGUGAAGAACAACCAUUUCCCGAACAUUAUGCAAAAUGUAUGAAGGAUUGUCUAGCACAUUGCACUGAACUAUCUAAUCCUGUUUAUAAUUGUAUUACUGGUUGUCGCUUAAUGAAGUCAAUUGUCAUCAAAAAUGGUGUUGGUGAUCUUGUGAACAAUGGAAUGAAUACUUGCAUACAACAGUGUAAAGAAAUGUUAUAGUUUGUAGCAUCAAUUGAG